This 589-nucleotide long non-coding RNA is filed under the name Ananas comosus (pineapple). Its description in RNAcentral is "long non-coding RNA (ACOM_LNC039293)". The record is from RNAcentral. Lineage: Eukaryota; Viridiplantae; Streptophyta; Magnoliopsida; Poales; Bromeliaceae.
AAGUAAAACUUAUUUGAUCUGAAGUAUCUUUCACUACAACAAAAAUGGUCUAUAGCGACACUUUUAAAUAUAGGUACAUGUCAAAAAAGUACUGCUAGCUAAAAUUACUGACACUUUUAAAAAGUGUUGCUAUAUGUGGGGUCGCUAGGUAUAUAGUGACAGUUAAAGAGUGUCGCUAUAACCUAAAAGAGUGCUGCUAAUUUACCAACACUUAUUUAAGCAUUUAGCAACCGCCGAAACUCUAUUUCGUUGGCAGCGGUGGCGGAGGAGGACGACAGGAAAGGCUCUUCGUCUAGAAUUUCAGUGGAUUGAGUGAAGAGAGAAGAAAAGAUGGUAAUUAAUUUUUCUUUUUUUUUUUCUUUUCUGUUUGUAAUCGGGUCAAAUGGACUGGGUGUGGUGGGUUGAGUAGAGUAAUCUUUUAUUUUUAGUUGGAUUGGGCUUUAUAUUUAGGCAUAAGUAGAUGUUUUUUUAAAUUUUAGCAUAAAUGGGACACUUACUCAAAAGUGUCCCAAACAUGUGUCCCUAUAAUCUAAUUCUGUUGUAGUGUUUAGUUGAAAUCUUUUAUAAAUACUAUCAUCGUUCCCACAUC